Molecule: non-coding RNA, 693 nt
Filed under: Mus musculus (house mouse)
Lineage: Eukaryota; Metazoa; Chordata; Mammalia; Rodentia; Muridae
Source: RNAcentral
GGCUUGAGGACCGUAUUCAUGGAAGAGGAUCGAACAGAAGACUACUGAGUUCUUAUGAGAAAAAUGGCUCUUAAGAAAUUGAAGGUGAUACCAAAGGAAAGUUACUUAUUACUUUUGGACUUUGAUGAUGAGGACGAUGAUAUAAAAGUUUCAGAGGAGGCUCUUUCGGAAGAGAUGAAGUAGACAGUAUGUUGGAUAAAUCUGAGGACAUGAAAUAGGCAGUAUGUUGGAUAAAUCUGGAGGUCUCUGCUAAGAAAAACUGAGAACUUCACUGUAAGUGCAAGAGUUUGAACAGACUGGCUCCUAGCAGAAAUCAGGAAGGCCAAGGAAAUGGAGACCCUAUGACAUUUAUAAGACGCUUCACAUAAAGAGAAAAUGGAUGGAAACUUAUGUCAAAGAAUCUUUCAAAGGCAGGAACCAGAAAUUAGAAAGAUUUUGCAAAAUGAACGAACGAGAGAGGAAGAACAUCAACAACAAAUUUUGUGAGCAGUAUAUAACUACAUUUCAGAAGUCUUAUAUGGAUGUGCAGAAAUUCAAUGAGGAAAAAGAAAAAUCAGUGAAUAGUUGUCAAAAAGAACAACAAGCAUUGAAACUGUCCAAAUGUAGUCAGAACCAGACCCUGGAAGCAGCUGCAUCAUUGGACUCAAACUGAAUGGUCCAUGUGUUGCCACUGAUGUGAGCCAUUUGCAAGCC